This is a small nuclear RNA of Schistocerca gregaria, 111 nucleotides long. NCBI's taxonomy places the organism in Eukaryota, Metazoa, Arthropoda, Insecta, Orthoptera, Acrididae. The record is from RefSeq and is a predicted model, not a curated record.
GUACUCACUGCGACUCUACAUAUACUAAAGUUGGCUGGAACGAUACAGAGAAGAUUAGCAUUUCUCCUACGCAACGAUAAAAAAGCGAGAGGUCACAGGAUCUAAUUAUAU